AACGAACGCUGGCGGCAUGCCUAACACAUGCAAGUCGAACGAGACCUUCGGGUCUAGUGGCGCACGGGUGCGUAACGCGUGGGAACCUGCCCUUAGGUUCGGAAUAACUCCCCGAAAGGGGUGCUAAUACCGGAUAAUGUCUUCGGAUCAAAGAUUUAUCGCCUUUGAUGGGCCCGCGUUGGAUUAGCUAGUUGGUAGGGUAAAAGCCUACCAAGGCGACGAUCCAUAGCUGGUCUGAGAGGAUGAUCAGCCACACUGGGACUGAGACACGGCCCAGACUCCUACGGGAGGCAGCAGUGGGGAAUAUUGGACAAUGGGCGAAAGCCUGAUCCAGCAAUGCCGCGUGAGUGAUGAAGGCCUUAGGGUUGUAAAGCUCUUUUACCCGGGAUGAUAAUGACAGUACCGGGAGAAUAAGCUCCGGCUAACUCCGUG
This 432-nucleotide ribosomal RNA is filed under the name uncultured bacterium. RNAcentral describes it as "partial 16S ribosomal RNA". It matches the Rfam family "Bacterial small subunit ribosomal RNA", at positions 29 to 507 of the family's 1533-position model. The record is from RNAcentral.